Molecule: ribosomal RNA, 254 nt
Filed under: uncultured bacterium
Lineage: Bacteria
Description: partial 16S ribosomal RNA
Rfam family: Bacterial small subunit ribosomal RNA
Source: RNAcentral
UACAUGGGGUGCAAACGUUGCUCGGAAUUAUUGGGCGUAAAGCGCACGUAGGCGGUUCGUUAAGUCGGAUGUGAAAGCCCUCGGCUCAACUGAGGAAGUGCACCCGAAACUGGCGAGCUUGAGUACGAAAGAGGAUCGCGGAAUUCCCGGUGUAGAGGUGAAAUUCGUAGAUAUUCGCAAGAACACCAGUGGCGAAGGCGGCUCACUGGCCCGAUACUGACGCUGAGGCACGGAAAGCGUGGGGAGCAAACAGG